RNAcentral lists this ribosomal RNA (713 nucleotides) under Escherichia coli. Its description in RNAcentral is "bacterial LSU rRNA". It matches the Rfam family "Bacterial large subunit ribosomal RNA", at positions 2230 to 2925 of the family's 2925-position model. The record is from RNAcentral. Lineage: Bacteria; Pseudomonadati; Pseudomonadota; Gammaproteobacteria; Enterobacterales; Enterobacteriaceae.
GACCCGUAAUCCGGGUUGCGGACAGUGUCUGGUGGGUAGUUUGACUGGGGCGGUCUCCUCCUAAAGAGUAACGGAGGAGCACGAAGGUUGGCUAAUCCUGGUCGGACAUCAGGAGGUUAGUGCAAUGGCAUAAGCCAGCUUGACUGCGAGCGUGACGGCGCGAGCAGGUGCGAAAGCAGGUCAUAGUGAUCCGGUGGUUCUGAAUGGAAGGGCCAUCGCUCAACGGAUAAAAGGUACUCCGGGGAUAACAGGCUGAUACCGCCCAAGAGUUCAUAUCGACGGCGGUGUUUGGCACCUCGAUGUCGGCUCAUCACAUCCUGGGGCUGAAGUAGGUCCCAAGGGUAUGGCUGUUCGCCAUUUAAAGUGGUACGCGAGCUGGGUUUAGAACGUCGUGAGACAGUUCGGUCCCUAUCUGCCGUGGGCGCUGGAGAACUGAGGGGGGCUGCUCCUAGUACGAGAGGACCGGAGUGGACGCAUCACUGGUGUUCGGGUUGUCAUGCCAAUGGCACUGCCCGGUAGCUAAAUGCGGAAGAGAUAAGUGCUGAAAGCAUCUAAGCACGAAACUUGCCCCGAGAUGAGUUCUCCCUGACCCUUUAAGGGUCCUGAAGGAACGUUGAAGACGACGACGUUGAUAGGCCGGGUGUGUAAGCGCAGCGAUGCGUUGAGCUAACCGGUACUAAUGAACCGUGAGGCUUAACCUUACAACGCCGAAG